AGUGAACGCUGGCGGUAGGCCUAACACAUGCAAGUCGAACGGCAGCACAGGAGAGCUUGCUCUCUGGGUGGCGAGUGGCGGACGGGUGAGGAAUACAUCGGAAUCUACUCUGUCGUGGGGGAUAACGUAGGGAAACUUACGCUAAUACCGCAUACGACCUACGGGUGAAAGCAGGGGACCUUCGGGCCUUGCGCGAUUGAAUGAGCCGAUGUCGGAUUAGCUAGUUGGGGGGGUAAAGGCCCACCAAGGCGACGAUCCGUAGCUGGUCUGAGAGGAUGAUCGGCCACACUGGAACUGAGACACGGUCCAGACUCCUACGGGAGGCAGCAGUGGGGAAUAUUGGGCAAUGGGCGCAAGCCUGAUCCAGCCAUACCGCGUGGGUGAAGAAGGCCUUCGGGUUGUAAAGCCCUUUUGUUGGGAAAGAAAUCCAGCUGGCUAAUACCCGGUUGGGAUGACGGUACCCAAAGAAUAAGCACCGGCUAACUUCGUGCCAGCAGCCGCCGUAA
RNAcentral lists this ribosomal RNA (506 nucleotides) under uncultured bacterium. RNAcentral's name for it is "partial 16S ribosomal RNA". It matches the Rfam family "Bacterial small subunit ribosomal RNA", at positions 29 to 523 of the family's 1533-position model. The record is from RNAcentral.